RNAcentral lists this ribosomal RNA (350 nucleotides) under Enterococcus faecium. RNAcentral's name for it is "bacterial LSU rRNA". It matches the Rfam family "Bacterial large subunit ribosomal RNA", at positions 2578 to 2925 of the family's 2925-position model. The record is from RNAcentral. Lineage: Bacteria; Bacillati; Bacillota; Bacilli; Lactobacillales; Enterococcaceae.
UGUUCGCCCAUUAAAGCGGCACGCGAGCUGGGUUCCGAAGGUCGGUAGACAGUUCGGUCCCUAUCCGUCCCGGUCGUUGGGAAUUGGAGCGGAGCUGUCCUUAGUACGAGAGGGCCGUGAUGGACUUACCGCUGGUGUACCAGUUGUUCUGCCAAGGGCAUUGCUGGGUAGCUAUGUAGGGAAGGGAUAAACGCUGAAAGCAUCUAAGUGUGAAGCCCACCUCAAGAUGAGAUUUCCCAUUUCUUUAAGAAAGUAAGAUCCCUGAGAGAUGAUCAGGUAGAUAGGUCAGGAGUGGAAGUACAGUGAUGUAUGGAGCGGACUGAUACUAAUCGAUCGAGGACUUAACCAAU